UGGGUGUAAAGGGCGUGUAGGCGGAGAAGCAAGUCAGAAGUGAAAUCCAUGGGCUUAACCCAUGAACUGCUUUUGAAACUGUUUCCCUUGAGUAUCGGAGAGGCAGGCGGAAUUCCUAGUGUAGCGGUGAAAUGCGUAGAUAUUAGGAGGAACACCAGUGGCGAAGGCGGCCUGCUGGACGACAACUGACGCUGAGGCGCGAAAGCGUGGGGAGCAAUCAGGAUUAGAUACCCUGGUAGUCCACGCUGUAAACGAUGAAUACUAGGUGUGGGAGGACUGACCCCUUCCGUGCCGCAGUUAACACAAUAAGUAUUCCACCUGGGGAGUACGAUCGCAAGAUUGAAACUCAAAGGAAUUGACGGGGGCCCGCACAAGCAGUGGAGUAUGUGGUUUAAUUCGAAGCAACGCGAAGAACCUUACCAGGUCUUGACAUCCAACUAACGAGAUAGAGAUAUGUUAGGUGCCCUUCGGGGAAAGUUGAGACAGGUGGUGCAUGGUUGUCGUCAGCUCGUGUCGUGAGAUGUUGGGUUAAGUCCCGCAACGAGCGCAACCCUUGCUAUUAGUUGCUACGCAAGAGCACUCUAAUAGGACUGCCGUUGACAAAACGGAGGAAGGCGGGGACGACGUCAAAUCAUCAUGCCCCUUAUGACCUGGGCUACACACGUACUACAAUGGGCGUUAACAGAGGGAAGCAAAAUAGCGAUAUGGAGCAAACCCCUAAAAACGUUCUCAGUUCAGAUUGCAGGCUGCAACCCGCCUGCAUGAAGUCGGAAUUGCUAGUAA
RNAcentral lists this ribosomal RNA (783 nucleotides) under uncultured Bacillota bacterium. RNAcentral describes it as "bacterial SSU rRNA". It matches the Rfam family "Bacterial small subunit ribosomal RNA", at positions 555 to 1341 of the family's 1533-position model. The record is from RNAcentral. Lineage: Bacteria; Bacillati; Bacillota.